Molecule: transfer RNA, 70 nt
Filed under: Dipodomys ordii (Ord's kangaroo rat)
Lineage: Eukaryota; Metazoa; Chordata; Mammalia; Rodentia; Heteromyidae
Rfam family: tRNA
About the family: Transfer RNA (tRNA) molecules are approximately 80 nucleotides in length. Their secondary structure includes four short double-helical elements and three loops (D, anti-codon, and T loops).
Source: Rfam by way of RNAcentral
GGGAAAGUGGCUCAGUGGUAAAGCACUUGUCUUGCAUGCAUGAGGCCCUGGGUUCGAUUCCACAGCACCA